UGGUAAGCGGGAACGCCAACCUGGUACCUCACAGGCAAGAAGGAAUCAGUGAAGGACGGGGUUCUGAAGAUCCUCUCCCGCUUUAGGUGUCUAGCCAUUGAUGAAGUUGGAAGCUUUGUAGGUGCCGGAGAUGUGGGUGCAGCGCCCCCUGCUGGCAGUCUCGCUGUACUUCUCUUCAGGGAGGUCCUGGUCAUACCGACACCAGCCAGCAGAGUGCUGCCCGGCUGACACAAAGAUUUUUAAAGAGGCCCAAGGGAUUACAGAGCAAUUUAGAAAAGUGUCAGAGGACAAGGGACUGCGGUGUUAGAACAGGAUUCAGACUCCACUUCUAGGAAGGCACCGACAUCACAGCUCUCAAAUACCCACAGGGAUGUGAAACAAGAUUCACAAAGGAUAGAACUCACCCAUCUCUCUUGGAUGCCUCGUCCAGAUCAAGGAUGUGGAAAGGGUCAGAGAGAUAGGAGGCAGUCAUGUGAAGAGCCAUCAUUGUACCCCUUCUCCUCCUCACAAGGGAAGAUGGGCAAAGGUUGUGUGUCCUUCAUCUCAGCCUGUGCAGAGAGCUUAUAUCACCCCUUGGAGAGCUUUAAAAUAGUUUCAGCAAAGUAGAGGAACAGCAAACAACAGACCCCAGAGGCAUUCCUGAGACACCAGAGUGACAGCCGCAUAGAGGUUGAAGACAUCAAUCUCAUCGGCCUGUUUUCUGGGGUUUCUAGAGUUGUGUGUGCUCUGUGAACCAAACAUGGCCACUCAGAAGAGAGAGCUGGUGAGCAGCCAGACUGGGCCUGUGGUAGUCUGAAUUGUAAUUGGUUCCCAUAGGCUCAUAGGGAGCGGCACUAUUAGGAGGUGUGGCCUUGUUGGAGUAGGUGUGGCCUUGUUGGAGGAAGUGUGUCACCCCGGGGCGGGCUUUGAGGUUUCAGAUGCUCAAGCUAGGCCCAGUGUGUUGUUCUCUCUUCCUGCUGCCUGCUGAUCUGUAUAUAGGGACCUCUCAGCUACCUCGCCAGCACGAUGUCUGCCGGUGUCCCGCCAUGCUUCCUACCAUGAUGACAACGGACUAAACUUCUGAACAAAUUUUGGAUGAGAACCAAAGCCUAUUCAGAGGCAGGGGAGGAAGAGAUGAAAAGGGCCUGCCCCCAUCCAGAACAAAGAGAGAAUGCAUCUGCAACGGAAGAAUUGCACAUGCUCAGUGCAAAGGUUAAUUUGACUCUGCAAUGGGCGAGCAUGGGGACACAAGAAAAACCUUCACAAUUUCCCCUCCUUUUUUAUUUGUAUUAGUUGAAUGAGGACAUUAAAUUCAGCUGUGUUUAUUUCUACUUA
This is a non-coding RNA of Peromyscus maniculatus bairdii (prairie deer mouse), 1314 nucleotides long. The record is from RefSeq and is a predicted model, not a curated record. NCBI's taxonomy places the organism in Eukaryota, Metazoa, Chordata, Mammalia, Rodentia, Cricetidae.